This 446-nucleotide ribosomal RNA is filed under the name uncultured bacterium. RNAcentral's name for it is "bacterial SSU rRNA". It matches the Rfam family "Bacterial small subunit ribosomal RNA", at positions 330 to 792 of the family's 1533-position model. The record is from RNAcentral.
UCCAGACUCCUACGGGAGGCAGCAGUGGGGAAUAUUGCACAAUGGGGGAAACCCUGAUGCAGCGACGCCGCGUGGGUGACGAAGUAUUUCGGUAUGUAAAGCCCUAUCAGCAGGGAAGAAGAUGACAGUACCUGACUAAGAAGCCCCGGCUAACUACGUGCCAGCAGCCGCGGUAAUACGUAGGGGGUAAGCGUUAUCCGGAUUUACUGGGUGUAAAGGGAGCGUAGGUGGCAUGGCAAGCCAGAAGUGAAAACCCGGGGCUUAACCCCGCGGAUUGCUUUUGGAACUGUCAGGCUGGAAUGCAGGAGGGGCAGACGGAAUUCCUUGUGUAGCGGUGAAAUGCGUAGAUAUAAGGAGGAACACCAGUGGCGAAGGCGGUCUGCUGGACAGCAACUGACGGUGAGGCGCGAAAGCGUGGGGAGCAAACAGGAUUAGAUACCCUUGUA